Long non-coding RNA from Lutra lutra (Eurasian river otter), 4751 nucleotides. RefSeq lists it as uncharacterized. NCBI's taxonomy places the organism in Eukaryota, Metazoa, Chordata, Mammalia, Carnivora, Mustelidae. The transcript has 3 exons. The record is from RefSeq and is a predicted model, not a curated record.
GUCCCACUCGACUUCCAGCCACUUCCUGCUUCUGGUCUCCGCGACUUUCUGCCCCCAGCUGGGUCUCAGACACAGGACAGACCCGGGGUCCUAACAAGUCCCCUGGCUGAAAGACUACAGGUUCUGGAAAUGAUUCAUUAUGGGCCCAGGAGACUGCUGCCUCCCCGCACCUUAAUACACCAUGUACCUCCAACUCACCAAAUUCCUACCCCCCCCCCCAACACCAAGCCUUUGCUCGUGCUGCUCUCCUGAUGCAAGACUCCAUCCUCUUCACCUGAGUGUCCCUGAAGCAUGAGAGCAGUGGAGAGACAGGCCAGGAUGGGUCCUGUGCUCCCACGUGAGGCGGGAGAGAUGCGGAAGAAGCAGCAAAGGAGAAGUGAAGGAAGAGAACCAGGAGAGCAGGUCCCAGGAGCCAGGGAAGCAAGUCACAGGCUAACCGGCAGGUAUGGGAGCCACUGGCCCAGAUGGUGUGUAAGAACCUGUUGACCUUCUGGUGGCCUCUGUGUGAUGUCCCUUGGACGCGGUUCUCACAGUCACUCCGGAAGGCUGACAUCAGCUUGCUCUGGCCCAGAUAAGCACAGUCGCGCUAACAGGUCAGAAAGAGCCUGCAGGACGUGCCUGUGUGAGCGGAGGUCGGAGUGGGGCUGCGUGUGUGACAGUCAAGGGUAGGUAGUUCUCUGCAUGUGUGGGGAGUGUGAUCAUAUCUGUCUAGGAGUGUGUGCCUGGGUGUGUGUGUCAUUAGAUAUGUGCACGUGUGUCUCUGAGAAUAUACGGCAUUACACUGAGCUUGUAUAUAUGUGUGUGUGUGUCCAUUCAGCACCCGUUUUUCUCCUGUCACCUCUGUGAGGCUGCUGGGGGAGGGACAGAGGCUGAAAUGGCCCAGGAAGUUCCUCUUGCCCCCCCAACUCCACCUUCCAGGUAAUGGAGGGGACACUUAUGCCUGUGGGGAGUGGCAGGGCUGGGCUCUGGCCCGGAUACACAGCAGGGAGGGGAUGGGGAGAGGUCUGGGCUGGGUCAGAUGAGGGACAGGUCAGAAAGCCAGGCCCCGGCUACUCAGCACACCCCCACUGAGGUCUUGACCAACCUGGAGCCUUGGGGACUCCAGGCAAUAGGUCACAGAGAUCCUCCCUCCUACGCGACUUCUAGAACUUGUUGUGGAAGGCCUUGAGCCUGGGCAGAAGUCCCAAGGACCCUUUGAUCCUGCCGAUUUUCCUCCAGCCCGCUCUGAGGGUCUAGGAGGUUGAGAGACUUGGGCAGAGGGUAUGGGACCAUAUUCACUGUCCAGGUUGCUGUCCCUAGCUUGCCCUCUUCACCCUGCCCUGGAGCCUACAUAUUCUUUCUUUUCCUCAAAAUGAGCCCGUCUCCUCCAGCUGCACACGCACGCACAUACACACGCACUUUCACAGGAGGGGGACCAAGCCCAGGAUCUCCUGGCUUCAGACCCCACGUCAGCGCCUGGCUGGUGAGACCUUCGGCCGCCUUCUGCCAGGGCCAGCACGAAGCCCCCACCUGACAAGGCACCGAUGCUCUGAGUCUGGAGGCUGGCUCUUAGCUCCUGGCACAGCCUUGGCCUUGCUGGGGGACCCUGGGUGAGAACAGAGCCACGUUCAGAAGUAGGCAGACCGCAGCCUCCUUCGGGGAGAUUAAGCGAUAGGAAAAACGAUUAGGAUCUUACCGAGUACUUCCUGUGUGCCAAGCACACUUUACACAGAAUGACUCAUCUGACCUUCACUAGGACCCUGGGAUAGAUAUUAUUAUGAUCUGAUCUUAUAGAAGGCCACCGAGGCCAGAGAUACUGUAACAGCUUGUCCAAGGUCACAAAGGGAUUGAGUGUUGGAAACGACACACAGCCGCAAUGUGCGUCCUUAACUGCCGAGUCGCAGGUCGCUCAACAGCAGCUUUUCCACUCAGGGUCACUAAUGAUGUGCCAGGUGCUGUGCUGAGUACUUUCCAUCCAUUCACUGAUUUUGUGGGGUCCUGCUCUUUUAAGGACCAAAGCUGGAGGAAGAGGAAGCAGGAGGGGGCAUGACACAUGGUUUGGGAAGAGAGCCAGGGAGAGCUGAGGACGGUAGCUCAAGCUAUGGCAGCAACAGGCGAACUUUGUUUUAAAGGGCUGGACAGUAACUAUUGUAGUGAUCUUGGUCACAAUUGCUAGACUUCGCCAUUGCACAGCCAAAGCAGCCAGAGACAACUUGCUGGAGAAUGGUCGUGGCUUUGAGCCAAGAAGAUGGGAUUUAUGGAAAAGGAAAUUUGAAUAUCAUAACAUUUUCAUGUGUCACAGAAUAUUCUUGUUUUGGUGUUUUUCCCUUUUAAUUUGUGGGCUGUUACAAAAACAGGAGAGCUGGAUUUGGUCUGAGGGCUGUCAUUUGCCAGCUCCCAGAAGGGCUCAGCUCCCACCAGGCCUCGCCUCUGGGCUGGCUCUUGCAAUUCUCCAGCUGUCCCAGGCUGCUGUGCCCUGGCAACAUGCUGACCCCGAGUUCUGAAGGAGAAUUAGACAGGAGCUCGUCCUGACCCAGAGCUGGGAUCCAGAUCUAAGCCAAGAACUCCCCUCGGGGUCUAAGUAUUCAGUUCCACCAUUGCCUGCCUGAGGCACAUUGAGCAAGUUUCUUAACCUCUCAAUUCUCUGGGAUUCCCUUCAGGUGCAAAGGAGAGAAAUUCAACUCAAUUGCUUAGGCUAGUAAGGAGAUUUCUUGCCUCCCGUAUGGAAAUGUCCAGGAGUAGAUCUCACAGCUUCAGGUACAGUUAGAUCCAGGUGCUUUGAUGACAUGGUCUGGAGUCUCCCUCUUUCCACCUCUUCGCUCUGUGUUUCCAAGUUAGCUUCAAACUCCAUUAUGGUCUUUCCAAGAGGUGGCAGAUGCUGAUAGGCGGCUAUCAGCAGCUGAUGACUCGCUUUCUAACCGUUUGGCAACCUCAGUUGACAACAAACUCCACUUCCCCAAGCACUUAGCAAGUUUCCAGAAGAUACUUGCAGGCUCUUGUUGGCCGGGUUUGGGUCAUGGAACCCCUGCUGAAUUGAUCACAAUGUCCAGGGAAAAUGGAAUGUCUGGUUCACCUCUGGAUCUCUGGGGCAGCGUCAGCCCCCACUGGAUCAGAACAUGCUGGGAGUAGAGGAGGGGUGGCUCCCCAAAGGAAAACCGGAAGGAGGGCAAGUAGAGGCUGUAGGCAAAAACAGCGGCUGCCUGCCAUAAAAUCAGACGGUCUACAAACUCUUCUAUAAAAGGGGGUAAUGACUGUACCUCACAACCAGUUGGCAACCCUGAGCCACCGUAAAAAGGAAAGAGGGAAAUUCGGUGCAUCUGGUGGGUGUCUCAUUCGGGGGACCUCUUAUAUUCACACCACAACCUCCUGUUACAGAAAAGUCCCACACAAUAUAAGAUGGCACAGCCGCUAUAGAAAACAAUAUGGAGUUUCCUCAAGAAGUUGAAAAUAGAACUGCUGUAUGAUCCAGCAAUUCCACUUCUGAGUACAUACCCCAAAGAAACGAGAGCAGAGACUCGGACAGAUAUCUGUACACCCAUCUUCAGAGCAGCACUAAUCACAACGGCCAAAAGGCAGAAGCAACUCAAGUGCCCAUCGAUGAACAAAUAAAUAGACAAAGAAAACGUGCUGUAGUCAGACAGUGGACUACCAUGCAGCCUCGAAAAGAAAGACUUUCUGACACAUGCAACAACAUGGCUAAGCCUUGAGGACGUCAUGCCAACGGAAAUUAAGCCAGUCACAAAAAGGACUCAUAUUGUGUGUUUUCACGUAGAUGCGGUACCAGGAAUAAUCAGAUGCAGAGAGACAGGAAGGAGAAGGGUGGUCGUCAGGGGCCAGGAAGAUGGGGAACUGGAAUCACUGGGUCAUGGUAUGGGGUUCUGGUUUGCAAUGACGAGAAGUUCUCGGGGAUGGUUGCACACCAGCGUGAUUGUACUUAAUACCACUGGGCCACACACCUAAAAAUGGUGAACAUGGUAAAUAUCGUGUAUGUUUUUCCGUAAUGUUUUUUUUUAAUUUGAAGAAUGUCUUAUAGAGGUGAAUUCUUAAUUCAAGGAUAAUUAACUCAAAACUCCUUUCAGGAGCAAUGGAAAGUCAGGGGUGAAGGUGUCAUUGGGGCAAAUUCCUCCCUGAAGCCCUCAAACCAUGCCGGGUCAAGACUUGUGGGUGGGAACCCUGUUUUUCUGGGCCAGUGGGUGGUCAAGAGGCUGCGGUCUGGUGUUGCGACCCUGGCUGAACGCUCCUUCCCUCAACACAGUCACAGGACAAAAGCAGUCGCUUCUAGCACUGCCACAUGCCCCACCUGAGAGUGGGUGUCCUGCCUCCUGCACCCUCACACACCAAGACUCCAAGGGCCUCUUGCCUGAGAGGACAACAGAGGUUCAGGGCAUGCGCCUGGGGUUGCACACAAUCACUUGGUGGCAGAGCCGAGCUUGGACACUGUGGACAUCAUGCCGGCUGCCAGGAGUGUUGGGGGUUGGGCAGCCAUCCAGUCUGGAAUGACACAGUACUUACAUGGAGGGUGAGGAGGAACCAGCCAAAAACCUGUUUGUACUUUCUCCCCACGUGGUGGCUUGUUCUGGGCCCAGUGGUUCCAUAGGACCUUUCUAGGGACGGUCCACAGAACUGAGCAAAUGGCCACGUUCUCUGAGACGCUGAGGCCAGCUUGGAAAUAUGUCGCCUAGGCGUUGCAUUCCUUCCACCCUGCUCUACUUCUGUCCUGUCACUCUUGCUUCCUGGGCAUUGCACGCACCAUUAAAGCACUAGCACACGAG